RNAcentral lists this ribosomal RNA (1352 nucleotides) under metagenome. Its description in RNAcentral is "bacterial SSU rRNA". It matches the Rfam family "Bacterial small subunit ribosomal RNA", at positions 170 to 1495 of the family's 1533-position model. The record is from RNAcentral.
CGAAUAUGGUCUCCUGUCGCAUGACGGGAAGAUUAAAGAUGGGGAUUCUUCGGAACCUGUCGUCUGGAGAGGAGCCCGCGUACGAUCAGCUUGUUGGUGAGGUAACGGCUCACCAAGGCUUUGACCGUUAGCCGGCCUGAGAGGGUGAUCGGCCACACUGGGACUGAGACACUGCCCAGACUCCUACGGGAGGCUGCAGUCGAGGAUCAUUCGCAAUGCGCGAAAGCGUGACGAUGCGACGCUGCGUGUAGGAUGACGGCCUUCGGGUUGUAAACUACUGUCAUGAGGGAAAAACCAGCGAUGGGACAAUACCCCAUCGCUCUGAUGGUACCUCAAGAGGAAGCCACGGCUAACUCUGUGCCAGCAGCCGCGGUAAUACAGAGGUGGCUAGCGUUGUUCGGAUUUACUGGGCGUAAAGCGUGCGUAGGCGGUUCCGUGUGUCGGGUGUGAAAUCCCACGGCUUACCCGUGGAAUGGCACCCGAAACUGCGGGGCUAGAGUGCAGGAGGGGAGAGCGGAAUUCUUAGUGUAGCGGUGAAAUGCGUUGAUAUUAAGGAGAACACCGGCGGCGAAGGCGGCUCUCUGGAAUGUAACUGACGCUGAGGCACGAAAGUUGGGGGAGCAAACAGGAUUAGAUACCCUGGUAGUCCCAACCGUAAACGGUGUGAACUUGGUGUAGGGGGUAUUGACCCCCCCUGUGCCGGAGCUAACGCGUUAAGUUCACCGCCUGGGGAGUACGGCCGCAAGGCUAAAACUCAAAGAAAUUGACGGGGGCCCGCACAAGCGGAGGAGCAUGUGGCUUAAUUCGAUGCAACGCGAAGAACCUUACCUGGGCUUGACAUGGGGACCCUUCGGGGGUGGUAGCGAAAGUUACCUUUACCAUCACAGGUGCUGCAUGGCUGUCGUCAGUUCGUGCCGUGAGGUGUUUGGUUAAGUCCAGCAACGAACGCAACCCUUGUGACUAGUUACCAGCGUCGGUGAUGAGCCGGCAGGCACUCUAGUCAGACUGCCCGUACAAGCGGGAGGAAGGUGGGGAUGACGUCAAGUCAGUAUGGCCCUUACGCCCAGGGCUGCACACGUGCUACAAUGGUCGGUACAGAAGGAUGCAAACCGCAAGGUCGAGCAAAUCCCCAAAGCUGGCCCCAGUUCGGAUUGGAGUCUGCAACUCGACUCCAUGAAGUCGGAUUCGCUAGUAACGGCGUAUCAGCUACGACGCCGUGAAUACGUUCCCGGGCCUUGUACACACCGCCCGUCACAUCAUGAAAGCCGUCUGCACCCGAAGUCGCUGAGCCAACCCGCAAGGGAGGCAAGUGCCGAAGGUGUGGGUGGUGAUUGGGAUGAAGUUCGAACAAA